ACGCUCAGGUGCGAAAGCGUGGGGAGCAAACAGGAUUAGAUACCCUGGUAGUCCACGCCGUAAACGAUGUCGAUUUGGAGGUUGUGCCCUUGAGGCGUGGCUUCCGGAGCUAACGCGUUAAAUCGACCGCCUGGGGAGUACGGCCGCAAGGUUAAAACUCAAAUGAAUUGACGGGGGCCCGCACAAGCGGUGGAGCAUGUGGUUUAAUUCGAUGCAACGCGAAGAACCUUACCUGGUCUUGACAUCCACAGAACUUUCCAGAGAUGGAUUGGUGCCUUCGGGAACUGUGAGACAGGUGCUGCAUGGCUGUCGUCAGCUCGUGUUGUGAAAUGUUGGGUUAAGUCCCGCAACGAGCGCAACCUUAUCCUUUGUUGCCAGCGGUCGGCCGGGAACGUCAAAGGAGACUGCCAGUGAUAAACUGGAGGAAGGUGGGAUGACGUCAAGUCAUCAUGCCUUACGACCAGGCUACACAGCGUGCUACAAUGGCAUAUACAAAGAGAAGCGACCUCGCGAGAGCAAGCGGACCUCAUAAAGUAUGUCGUAGUCCGGAUUGGAGUCUGCAACUCGACUCC
Molecule: ribosomal RNA, 572 nt
Filed under: Klebsiella pneumoniae
Lineage: Bacteria; Pseudomonadati; Pseudomonadota; Gammaproteobacteria; Enterobacterales; Enterobacteriaceae
Description: bacterial SSU rRNA
Rfam family: Bacterial small subunit ribosomal RNA
Source: RNAcentral